Molecule: ribosomal RNA, 253 nt
Filed under: uncultured bacterium
Lineage: Bacteria
Description: partial 16S ribosomal RNA
Rfam family: Bacterial small subunit ribosomal RNA
Source: RNAcentral
UACGUAGGGGGCAAGCGUUGUCCGGAAUUAUUGGGCGUAAAGAGCGUGUAGGCGGCCAGAUAAGUCCGCUGUGAAAUCUCGAGGCUCAACUUCGAGCUGUCGGUGGAAACUAUCUGGCUAGAGUCCGGAAGAGGAGAAUGGAAUUCCUGGUGUAGCGGUGAAAUGCGCAGAUAUCAGGAGGAACACCGGUGGCGAAGGCGGAUCUCUGGGCCUUACCUGACGCUCAGGCGCGAAAGCUAGGGGAGCGAACAGG